RNAcentral lists this unclassified non-coding RNA (384 nucleotides) under uncultured Tepidisphaerales bacterium. Its description in RNAcentral is "contains 16S-23S intergenic spacer region". The record is from RNAcentral. Lineage: Bacteria; Pseudomonadati; Planctomycetota; Phycisphaerae; Tepidisphaerales.
UCCGGUUUGACACCGGCAGUCUCCCUAGAGUGCCCGGCAUAACCCGCUGGUAACUAGGGACGAGGGUUGCGCUCGUUAGAGGACUUAACCCGACAUCUCACGACACGAGCUGACGACAGCCAUGCAGCACCUGUACUAGUUGUACCCCGAAGGGCCUACCCCGCUUUCACGGGGAUAAUCCUAGCAUGUCAAGCCCAGGUAAGGUUCUGCGCGUUGCUUCGAAUUGAACCACAUGCUCCACCGCUUGUGCGAGCCCCCGUCAAUUCCUUUGAGUUUUAGCCUUGCGACCGUACUUCCCAGGCGGUCGACUUAGCACUUUUGCUUCGACCGUAAUGGCGUCAGAGCCACUACGAUCUAGUCGACAUCGUUUACAGCCAGGACUAC